GCUGGUGUAGCUCAGUCGGUAGAGCGACGCACUCGUAAUGCGUAGGUCGCCGGUUCAAAUCCGGCCUCCAGCUCCA
This 76-nucleotide transfer RNA is filed under the name Oscillospiraceae bacterium. Its description in RNAcentral is "tRNA-Thr". It matches the Rfam family "tRNA". Rfam says of the family: Transfer RNA (tRNA) molecules are approximately 80 nucleotides in length. Their secondary structure includes four short double-helical elements and three loops (D, anti-codon, and T loops). Further hydrogen bonds mediate the characteristic L-shaped molecular structure. tRNAs have two regions of fundamental functional importance: the anti-codon, which is responsible for specific mRNA codon recognition, and the 3' end, to which the tRNAs corresponding amino acid is attached (by aminoacyl-tRNA synthetases). tRNAs cope with the degeneracy of the genetic code in two manners: having more than one tRNA (with a specific anti-codon) for a particular amino acid; and 'wobble' base-pairing, i.e. permitting non-standard base-pairing at the 3rd anti-codon position. Lineage: Bacteria; Bacillati; Bacillota; Clostridia; Eubacteriales; Oscillospiraceae. The record is from RNAcentral.